AUUUUGGGUGUACAGUCAUAAGUCGGACUCCGAGGAGCCAGGAAGUAACUGUGAGCCAUGCAGCUCAUGAGACGGAUAAAGUAGCGCGAGCGAGCGUCUGUUGUCAUCAGUCGGGGAUCACACGCGCGAGAGUGAGGAAGAACAACACGCCAACUGCAAAUUACAGCCCUAUCUAGUCCAGCACAACUCACGGACCCCACAAGAGGCGAAAUCCGAAGGAGGUUUGACACUUUAAAGAAUACAAAGCUCACUACAACAUACUCCAUCAUUAGAAGAAGAGAAAAAGACGGAAGGAAAUAAGAGCGGGACUUGCGUGUUUCAAGACAACGAUUCACACUCUCUUUGCAAGUUUAGACAAAUACAAUUAUCACAAUUGAUCAAAUCGCGUUCGAGAUGCCUCGGGUGGUCCCGGAUCAGAGGAGCAAGUUCGAGAACGAGGAGUUCUUCAGGAAACUCAGUCGCGAGUGCGAGAUUAAAUACACCGGUUUCCGCGACCGGCCGCAUGAAGAGAGGCAGGCGCGCUUCCAGAACGCGUGCCGUGACGGCCGCUCAGAGAUCGCUUUUGUGGCGACCGGCACCAACCUCUCGCUGCAGUUCUUCCCAGCCAACCUUCAUGGGGAUCAGCGGCAGGCGCCCACCCGAGAAUAUGUGGACUUCGAGCGGGAGACGGGAAAGGUUUAUCUGAAGGCUCCUAUGAUCCUGAAUGGAGUGUGUGUGAUCUGGAGAGGCUGGAUUGAUCUUCAGCGUCUGGAUGGGAUGGGUUGUCUGGAAUAUGAUGAUGAAAGGGCACAGCAUGAGGAUGCUCUGGCCCAGGCAGCCUUUGAGGAAGCCCGCAGAAGAACCCGUGAUUUUGAGGACAGGGAUCGCUCGCACCGCGAGGACAUGGAGCAGAUACCGAUGGCACAGCUCAGUCAUUUAAUAACUCAGGAGGACCCUGUGGCAUCAAAAAUCUGGGACUGAUGGCCUUCAAGGACCAGGGUCUGUCUCCUCUGCUUCUCUCUAUCCUUGUGUCAUGCACUAAACCGUGUCUGUCUCCCAGGCGACAGCAGGACCCCAGCACUGGCUCCAACAUGGGCAACACUGAUGAUCACAAGAUGCGCUAGCGGCAUUCACCAAAGUGGGCAGGGAUAGGGUCAUAAGACCUCCAACACCACAGCAAUCUCAUCUCUUGAUGCCUUGUUUAUCACAGGACAGACCAAAGUCCACACCGGUGGGGAUUUUCGGAUGGGAUGUUUGGUGAAGGGGCUGGGUGGGUUUGGGCUGGGCUGGUAUUGAUGUGCGUCAGAGAUUCUUUCGGAUUUGAUUUAGUCCCUUGUUUCUUCUCGGGAAUUUUUGCACUAUGUGAUAUGUUCAGUUUAAGUCCCUCAUAUCGCCUUUCGGUAUGCAUGGUCUUCCUGCCUAUGUUUGCUCUUGUUCCCCUCUAUGCAAGGCAUCUUAUUUAAUCCUAUUGUAAUGAAAUGGCAUUUUUUAAUUAUUUUAUUCGUAUCGUGUGUGAAAGUCAGGAUGUUUACUUUUUGUAUUUUCAUUUCCUCUCUAUAUAAACAUGUCUGUCCUCGUGCUUUGUAAGAGAAUCUAGUAAAUGUCGCUAGAUAGAUUUGUGCAGUAGAGUAGAACUUUUUUUUUUUUAAGUCAAGUCUAGAAAGAGGCUGCUGAUGUUGUGAACGAGGAGGUCUUUUCUUUUAUCAUCCUUCUCCAUGUGCUCUUGUCUUCCACUCUCUUCCUGUAACAGUCAGUUGAAGCAUGCUUUGAACGUGAACUGAGCAGCAGGAAGUGAAUAUUGAGGUCAGUGUUACUCCGUGCGUGCUCUACACAAUAUGAACCAGAGAUUUGUUUUUUCACCCUACAUCUGUUUUUUCUUUCAUGAGUGUCAACGUUUUACCCACUUAGUUUGUUUUAAGCAGGAUUUUUCAAUUUUGCUACAUAUUUUAUUUUACUCUGGAUUUCUUUAAAAUGAAUACGUUUUUCAGUCAUUGAAGACAAUUCACUUCGACAAAUAUCACACCUUUUUGAUUUAUUUUUUGACAAGUGCACUACUUCCCUGUCUGUUUUCUUUGGUUUUUGAAGAGGUUCUGACAUGAAAACUCCCUCCAUUCUUAUUAAACCAAAAAUAUACCAAAUAUGAUCUAUAAACGUCUUUUAACAUUCAGAAAUGAGACAAAGAAUAACUAUCAUGAUGUAAUGACAGGAGUAUUCGUAAAUCAUAUCUGUAAUUUCCAGACACAUAUAAAGUUCCUGAACAUUUAAUAUCGGACUCUGUUAUUGUAUAUGCAAGUAUAUUCACAAAACUGGGAUAAAACAUGAUUCUCCAUCAGGUCAAACAGAGGACAUUAGUGUGCAUCUUUAGUCAAAGGUCCUGGGAUCUGUUUAAGAUGGUUUAGUGGUUUGGGACAGUUGGACUGGAAAACCACUGAUAAAGAGAAAGGAAAGUAGGGAAGGAAACAAAGUUACUCUUAUCAUUUAAUGUUUGUAAAAUAACAACAAUUUAACUCUGCAACAUAAAUGGAAACAACUUGCCCUCCAAUGACAUUUGAUUUUGAACAUAAUCAACAUUUAACAUAAUUGCAUCAUUUUAUGUCAUGCUCUUUUUUUAUUUACCACAGCCAAUGCUAAGAUUUGAAGAGCCAAGAAUUCUUUUUUGGAAGGGAUGGAAGUCAGAAGGUUCGGCCUAUCUCUAGCUUAAACCAAAUACACAAAUGAGAGCUUAUUUAUAGAGAGCAAGUUCAUGUUGUCUGAGUGUUGAGGAAAAGCUAAUGUUGGUUUUGUAAAACGUUAAAGCUUUGUAAAGUUGGAGUAGGCAUUUGUACCACACAGUGGUCAGAGACCGGGCAACAGGAGGUUAUUGAAGUAUAUUUGGAAUAUAUAUUUGGAAGAUGCCAGAGACGGAGAACUUGAGCAAACCAGAGUCCACAAAACAGUUCUGCUUUAAUUGGUCUUCCAGAUCAACUCUGCUUCUGGAUGUGUCUUAUGCUGUGUAUCAAAGAAAUAACCUUUGCUGGCCCUCUGUUAGUUUCUCUCUCAUCCCUUUUCACUUAAUGCUGGCAUUAAGGCAGAAUACACACCAGGUAGUGGAUGGCUCUUUUUUUAAAGAAUGAAUAAAUAAAAUGUUUAUUUUCUUAAUUGUUUUAAGUUAUUGAUGCAGGUAUACGUUUAUUUCAUUAUCAGGUUCCGCUAUGAUGAAAUGUGUAUUUCUGUAUUGAUAUUGCUUUCCCCUUUCCCCCCUAAAGGAUUGGGGAUGCUUUUAUAUGGUCUUUGGUUUUAGCUCUUUUUCUGUUUUUAAUUUUAAGCAAGGAGGACUGUUAUCUGAAGUGUUAUGUUUGAUUUGUUUCUUAAUAAACUUAUUACAGAGCA
This is an RNA transcript of Carassius auratus (goldfish), 3348 nucleotides long. It is a transcript of the gene named core-binding factor subunit beta-like, with no coding region annotated. The transcript has 8 exons. Lineage: Eukaryota; Metazoa; Chordata; Actinopteri; Cypriniformes; Cyprinidae. The record is from RefSeq and is a predicted model, not a curated record.